GAAAGGCAUCUUUUUGUUUUUAAAAGACCUUCUUCGGAGGGUAUGCUUAAAGAGGGGCUUGCGCCACAUUAGUUAGUUGGUGAGGUAAAGGCUUACCAAGAUUAUGAUGUGUAGCUGGACUGAGAGGUUGAACAGCCACAUUGGGACUGAGACACGGCCCAAACUCCUACGGGAGGCAGCAGUAGGGAAUUUUCGGCAAUGGAGGAAACUCUGACCGAGCGACGCCGCGUGAACGAUGAAGUAUUUCGGUAUGUAAAGUUCUUUUAUUGAAGAAGAAAAAAUAGUGGAAAAACUAUAUUGACGUUAUUCAAUGAAUAAGCCCCGGCUAACUAUGUGCCAGCAGCCGCGGUAAGACAUAGGGGGCGAGCGUUAUCCGGAAUUAUUGGGCGUAAAGGGUGCGUAGGCGGUUAGAUAAGUCUAUAAUUUAAUUUCAGUGCUAACGCUGUCUUGUUAUAGAAACUGUCUUGACUAGAGUGAGAUAGAGGCAAGCGGAAUUCCAUGUGUAGCGGUAAAAUGUGUAAAUAUAUGGAGGAACACCAGAAGCGUAGGCGGCUUGCUGGGUCUUUACUGACGCUGAGGCACGAAAGCGUGGGGAGCAAACAGGAUUAGAUACCCUGGUAGUCCACGCUGUAAACGAUGAGUACUAAGUGUCGGGGAAACUCGGUACUGAAGUUAACACAUUAAGUACUCCGCCUGAGUAGUACGUACGCAAGUAUGAAACUUAAAGGAAUUGACGGGACUCCGCACAAGCGGUGGAUCAUGUUGUUUAAUUCGAAGAUACACGAAAAACCUUACCAGGUCUUGACAUACUCUGCAAAGCUAUAGAAAUAUAGUGGAGGUUAUCAGGGAUACAGGUGGUGCAUGGUUGUCGUCAGUUCGUGUCGUGAGAUGUUAGGUUAAGUCCUAAAACGAACGCAACCCCUGUCGUUAGUUGCCAGCACGUAAUGGUGGGGACUUUAGCGAGACUGCCAAUUAAACAUUGGAGGAAGGUGGGGAUAACGUCGAAUCAUCAUGCCCCUUAUGAUCUGGGCUACAAACGUGAUACAAUGGCUAUUACAAAGAGUAGCUGAAACGCGAGUUUUUAGCCAAUCUCAAAAAGGUAGUCUCAGUACGGAUUGAAGUCUGCAACUCGACUUCAUGAAGCUGGAAUCGCUAGUAAUCGCGAAUCAGCAUGUCGCGGUGAAUACGUUCUCG
Molecule: ribosomal RNA, 1194 nt
Filed under: Candidatus Phytoplasma ulmi
Lineage: Bacteria; Bacillati; Mycoplasmatota; Mollicutes; Acholeplasmatales; Acholeplasmataceae
Description: bacterial SSU rRNA
Rfam family: Bacterial small subunit ribosomal RNA
Source: RNAcentral